CGAAAUCGGUAGACGCUACGGACUUAAUUGGAUUGAGCCUUGGUAUGGAAACUUACUAAGUGAUAACUUUCAAAUUCAGAGAAACCCUGGAAUUAAAAAUGGGCAAUCCUGAGCCAAAUCCUGUUUUCCGAAAACAAACAAAGUAAAGACAGAAUAAAAUAAAAAAGAAAAUAAAAAAAAAAAGAAAAUAAAAAAAAAAAAGGGGGGGGGGAUAGGUGCAGAGACUCAAUGGAAGCUGUUCUAAUAAAUGGAGUUGACUGCGUUGCAUUAGUAAAGUAAAGAAAUCCUUCCGUCAAAACUUCAGAAAAGAUAACCGUAUAUACAUACGCAUACGUACUGAAAUACUAUCUCAAAUGAUUAAGAUUAAUAGGGGCCCAAAUCCGUAUUUUUUUAUCUUUAUAUGAAAAAUGAAAUAAAAAAAAAAUUGUUUUGAAUUGAUUCCAAAUUGAAGAAAGGGUUGAAUAUUAAUUGAUCAAAUCAUUCAUUCCAAAGUCUGAUAGAUAACUGAUUAAUCGGACGAGAAUAAAGAUAGAGUCCCAUUCUACAUGUCAAUAUCGACAACAAGGAAAUUUAUAGUAAGAGGAAAAUCCGUCGACUUUAGAAAUCGUGAGGGUUCAAGUCCCUCUAUCCC
Molecule: non-coding RNA, 631 nt
Filed under: Manihot tristis
Lineage: Eukaryota; Viridiplantae; Streptophyta; Magnoliopsida; Malpighiales; Euphorbiaceae
Description: partial transfer RNA-Leu
Rfam family: Group I catalytic intron (bases 16-558)
About the family: Group I catalytic introns are large self-splicing ribozymes.
Source: RNAcentral